RNAcentral lists this long non-coding RNA (1487 nucleotides) under Helianthus annuus (common sunflower). RNAcentral's name for it is "sRNA HanXRQr2_Chr09g0367781". Lineage: Eukaryota; Viridiplantae; Streptophyta; Magnoliopsida; Asterales; Asteraceae. The record is from RNAcentral.
AUGAGCACAGAGAGACUUAGUGAGAAUCGAUUGCAGUUGCAUUUUCGGCAUUCGACAGCAACGGCAAAAGGGGGAAUUUGUUGAUACAGAUUUUGUGUCUGAUGCUUGUCGAAUAGAUUAGAUUUAUUUUAUGCUGAAUAUGUAAUAGUUAGUGAAAUGGUCAAACGAACGUGUAUUGACCCGCUUGUUUGAAGUGGUCAAACGAGAGGGUUAUUUGUUUGACCGUGUGUGUUUGCAAGUCAAGGGGGUGUAGCUAUAAAUAGCAACCCCUUGCCAUUUGCAACAUUUGGAAGUUUUAGAUGUUUGAGUCCCACAGGGAGAGAUCACCACUUGGUCUCUCCCCGGAUGUGUACUCCUUUGGUAUGGUUCCGUUAGCUUGUUAAUCGGGCCGGUUUGCUUUGUUUUGUUAUCAAAUCUAUACAAGUAAGUAUUUCAUCCGUCUCUAAUCUUCCUGUCUAUGAACAUAAUCAUGAUAAUCACGGUUUCGGUCACGAAAACGGUCCUACAAUUGGUAUCAGAGCUUUGGCUCUAAUCCUUGUUUAAAACCAAACCUAGUUCGGUUUUUAUCAAGCCUGAAACUGAUUGUUUAUGAUUUUCUGAAAAAGUGUUCUUGAAAGUUUAUAUAUUUUCUAAAAAAGUCACUAAAAUCAGUGUUUAUCUUGUUUGUUUUGCCAAAGUUUUGCCAAAAACCUUGUUAGUGUGCAUCAUUACAUAGUAUUACCGGGUUUUUAGUAAAAGUUUUAAGCGAAUUCGGGUUUCAGAAAAUUGUUCGGUGACCGGAAUCUUCAAACCUUCAUCGUGUUUUUCACUAAUAUUCAAAGUGUUCUUCAUUAUUUCAACUUUUUGAUCUUUUGUAAGUUCACUUUAUUAGUUGUUGGUGCUUUUAAAAUCAAAAUGGAAAAGGAAAUUUGAUUAAAAUAAUUUUAAGAUAAAUAUGGUAGGUUGAAUUUUGGUGCAUUGUGUCAGAACAGGAUAAGUUUCUUUGAAAGAUCAAACCAAACUCACCAACUCCCACCCUUAUCCAAAUCAGUUUCGUCAUAAGCAAACAAACCUUUUCAGUUUCGUCGGAAUACUUAUCAGUUUCGUCGCUUACACUUCCAUCUGUUCCGUCGCACAAUAACAUUCCAGUUUCGUCGCUUACACUUCAAUCCGUUUCGUCGAGCAAUUAAUUAAAUCAGUUUGGUCGUUAUCAAACAGAUUUCAAAUCUGUUUCGUCAAUCAAACCGUUUCGUCGGACCUUUCUUAUUUCAUCAAUCAAACAGUUUCGUCGGACCUUUCAGUUUCGUCGACCAAACAGGUCAUCACUUUCGUCGAUUAUCAUUCUUACAUUCAGUUUCGUCAAACUCAAUCAUCAUUCAGUUUCGUCGAACUCAAUCAUCAUUCAGUUUCGUCGAACUAAAUCACUUUCAGUUUCGUCGCACACAAAAACAAAUCAGAGUUUCGUCGUUUAUCUGAUGAGUUUCGUCGUUUAUCUGAUGAGUGUCGUU